GGACUUUUUCUUGCUGAUUUGUAGGUGCUCUUUUUAUUAUUUUUUUAGCCUAUUGGGAAAAUUAUCCCUUUGUCCUAUCUGUUACAAUUUUUCCCUUCCCAGUUUGUUGUUUUCUUUUGAGUUUAUGAUCUCUUUUGCCAGGCAGAGGUUUAAGCUGACAUAGUGAAAUCUAUCCAUCUCUUACGGCUGCUUAGUUGUAAGACUGGGCUUAUGAACAAUCCUCCCCUGUCUUUUUAAAUCCUUUUGUUUAAUAUUUUAGUCUUUAAUGUAUCUGGGGGAUUUGUGUUUCAGUGGGGUGCAGUUGCAGGGGGGAUUUGAGGGGGACAGCAUGAAGGCAGGGUGGCCCACUGGACAGUGGCCACAGUAACAGAGGGGAGUAUGAUGGCAGCCUUGGCUAGCGCAGAGCUUCUCAACCUUGGCUUUAGUGACAUUUGGGGCUGGGUCAUUCUUUAUCACGGGGGCUAUCCUGGGCAUUGUAGGAUGUUUAGCACCAUCCCUGGCCUCUACCCACUAGACGCCAAUAGCACCUACCCUCCAAGUUGUGACAACCAAACCAUCUCUAGACAUUGCCACAUGUCCCCUGGGGUUGACCUUCAGUUGGGAAGCACUAGGCUUGGAGAAUUCUGGAGACAUUUGGGAGGUGAAUCCGUAGGACUGGUGGCCAAUCCAUAGGGCUGGUGGAGUGGGGUUGAGGGAGGACUUGGGACUGAAUCCUGGGAUCCCAGGUUUGGCAACAGGGUAGCUGGCGAUGUCCCUUUCUGAGAAGGGUUCACAGGGGAGGAAUGAUAUUUUGCAGGAGUGAGGGGAGAUGAUAAGUUCCAUUCUGGGUAUGGUAAGUGUAAAGGGCCUAAGACACGCCCAUGUGGGGAUGUCAGUGGGCAAAUAAAGAUCUGAACUGGAGAAAACAAAGUGGGUGGUAUCAGCAUCAGGAUGGGAAUCAAAACUCUGGGUUGCCCAUGGAGGAGGCAUAAGAGGACCUGGGGGUAGCCCUGAGGAGCCUUCAUUAUGACUGCAGAGGAAGGGGGCCUGUAGGCAGAAGUAGGGGAAACAGGUGGCAGGGGGGCCUGAAACCCAAGAAUGAGGAGACCAUUCCAAGAUGUAGGAGUCCUCGACGAUGCCAGUGCUGCAGAGCGGACUAAGAAAAGAAGUGCCGAGAAGCCACCCUUUGAGCAGUAAGGAGAAGCAGUGACCGAGGUGAGGGCAGUUUCUGCAGCGUGGUGGGGGCGGAAGCCACAUGACAAGCUGAGGAGCAGCAAGAGGAGAGGAAGUGGAGAUGAGAAGAGUCAACAGCUCUUUUAAGACCCCUGGCAGGGAAGGGGAGGAGAGCAGACCAGUGGCUGGAGGCGGAAGUGGGGUUGACAGAUUUUCUAUUUUUAUUUCCGAUUUAUUAAGACAGAGGACACCCAGCAUGCUUGAACACUGAUGAGUAGGAGCCGGGAGAGAAGGAGGUGAAGCCAUCUACCUGCCCAGCCACCAUGUACCUGGCCCGUGCCAGGGACCCAGUGGGGAACAAUCAAGACAUUGCCCUCAUGGAGUUCACAGCAGGGCACAUGAAACCAGUUGUCCGAAGAACUACAAAAUUAUAAUCCUGUUUUCUAGGCUUCUGAGAACCCAGGCAUACAUACUUAAACGGGAUGGAAGUGGAUGGGAAGACCUGGGUGCUCCUGUGCCAUGGAGCUGAUGGGAACAGACUGGUCUGAGGUACGUUCACUCUGAUGGCUCUACGUGAAAAUACCGAUGUCCCACCGAGUGCAGAACAUACUACCAUCUUUCUCGGCUUUUUUCAUUCUUGCACAUCAACUUAACCAGUUGCCAUCAAAUGGACUCCAACCCAUGGCGACCCCAUGUGUGUCACAGUAGCACUGUGCUCCAUAGGGUUUUCAAUGGCUCAUUUUCAGAAGUAGAUUGCCAGGCCUUUCUUCUGAGGCACCUCUGGGUAGACUCAAGCCUCCAACCUUUCAGUUAACAGCCAAGUGCAUUCAUCGUUUGCACCACCCAGAGGCUCUGACUUACAAUUAGAGAGAAGCAAUUUGUGACUUUCUCAAAGCUGAGCUGCCCCGACAAGAAAGGACCAACCAACCCUGUGAGCUCAGGCCUGAGCUGAGCUUCCCCUCUACCCUGCCACAUUCUCCAAUUCAGCAGAAUUUCUUCUGAGUACAUGCAGCUAAGCUACACCUCUCCUAUCAGGCAACCACAGGCCUUCUAAAGUAGCAACCACAGGCAGGAAAGCAUUCUCAACAAACCACGGUUUACUUCCUUGUCAUUGUGCCAUUUCAUCAUGGCCUCGACCCCAAACCUCUGCUAAGCGGCAAGAACCAGCCACAGGCAAGCACUGCAAAAUAACUUGUUGCCCCUUUUUUUUUCCCUUUAAAUAAAACAAAACCAAAGCACAAGAAAAGCCCUUGUUACUGCAUCUAGUUGAGAUUCAGGAAAGAAACAGUAAUCCAAGCCCACAAAUCAGCCUGCAACCACAAAUGAGAUGAUAAAAUAAAUCCCUAAUUGUUGGGGAAGCCAUCUUUCUCUCUGGGGCUUGGAGGAAUUCAGCAAACACUUCUGUUAAGACAUUUGUAUUUACUUAUCCAAGAGCAAUGGGACUGAGGCCGAGGGAGGGCAGGUGAGCCACCUCAGGUGGAGCAGCAGGUGAAGGCCCCGCACUUACACUAAGAAGCCUCUCCAUCCUAAGCCACUUAUGCCAGGUCUCAAAACCACACACGACUUCCUCUCACCCCCUCCGAGGAGGUCCCAAGCCCUGGCCUGGCUCAUGAGACCUUUCUGUCUGACACCAGCAUUCACUGGAUAUUUACUGAAUCGUCCAGCCCAGUUUCCACCUCACCCUCACCCUAGGUUCACCUUCCCGAUCAUUCUAUGGCCUCCUACAUACGUCAUAAGCAGCCCACAGCAUAACCCCUCACGCCCAGCUUGAGCCCCUCAUCCUGACCACUGCUCCCUCCCCUACUGCUGUCCCUUCUAAUCUAUCUCGGGUGUCCCAAGUCCUGAAUUUCCCCUAAAAUAUUCUAACCCCAUUUGCCUCUCUCUGAAGUCCCCUAAGCACUGCUUGGCACGACAGCUGACUUGCAGACUGGCUUCUCAGGAGUGCGGGCCCAGCCCAUGAGCAGUCGGCAAGCCCUCCCUUGAGGCCCAGGCCUCUGCCAGAGGCCCCACCUAUGGCCUCUUGAAAAGGGACAAGAAAGGGGCAAGUGCUGAGGGCUAAGCAGUCCCAUGGCCACGAGCCUAAACCUCUUAUUUCAUCCAAGCACCUGGGGGUGAGUGACAGCAAGAGAAAAGCAGAGGGCCGCUGGGUCACACAGCACAAAAAGUCACUAGCUGCCUGGAAGGAAAGUGUUAAGGCAGGGACCAGAGGGACCAGAUUCUUAACACAUCUCUCUACGUGAGACCCACAGGCUCAUCCCUUCCAGUCAUUUCCCUCAACUCAAAGGCUGCCCAGAGUGACUCACAAGGAAUGUGCUUAUGUGACUUUAUGCCAGGUGUCCCCGAGGGCCAUGAACUCUCCCAGGGCACACACACACAGCCGUAAUGCCAGACUCAUCCCUUUAAUCCAACCUUUUACCUGUGCUGUUUGCCAAAGUGCACUGACAGCGAAAAAGUCAAGGUUAAGUGACUUGCCCAAGAUCGCACAGCCAGUCCGAGGCAGGGACUGCGGACGCUGCUGCUACUACCUGACAGAGCACACCCUCUGCAGCCACGGCCCCUCCCAUCCACACAGCCUCAGACGCCUCCAGCCAGGGGCCCUGCUCCCUACUCGGUGCUCUCAUUAUCUCCCACGUGCAGGCUUUAUGUUUGGUCUGAGGGUGGGGGCCACAAACGGCUUGGGGCAGGAGCUGAGCAGGGUGGUGAGCACUCCCGCUCCAGGGUCGGUACCACAGGGAAACACUGCGAGGAGCCAGGCUGCCUGGGUCCAAAUUCCAGCUCUGCUGUUCUGCUGUGGGACUGGAUAUAAGCCCUGCCCUGCUUUGCAUCUCUGCUCCCUCAUCCAUGUAAAGGUGGGCAAUCAUUGGACCUAAAUUUUGAGACUUUUUCGUCCCUGGGCGGUGCAAAUGCUCAAUGCACUCAGCUGCUAACCAAAAGAUCAGAGGCACCUUGGA
Long non-coding RNA from Loxodonta africana (African savanna elephant), 4103 nucleotides. RefSeq lists it as uncharacterized. The record is from RefSeq and is a predicted model, not a curated record. The transcript is spliced from 3 exons. Lineage: Eukaryota; Metazoa; Chordata; Mammalia; Proboscidea; Elephantidae.